RNAcentral lists this non-coding RNA (46 nucleotides) under Schistosoma mansoni. Lineage: Eukaryota; Metazoa; Platyhelminthes; Trematoda; Strigeidida; Schistosomatidae. The record is from RNAcentral.
ACAUUACUGAAGAGUCGCACGACAAGACGAAACGGCCGUCUAGUGU